RNAcentral lists this ribosomal RNA (463 nucleotides) under uncultured bacterium. Its description in RNAcentral is "partial 16S ribosomal RNA". It matches the Rfam family "Bacterial small subunit ribosomal RNA", at positions 28 to 506 of the family's 1533-position model. The record is from RNAcentral.
GACGAACGCUGGCGGCGUGCUUAACACAUGCAAGUCGAACGGAAAGGCCCUGCUUGCAGGGUACUCGAGUGGCGAACGGGUGAGUAACACGUGGGUGAUCUGCCCUGCACUUCGGGAUAAGCCUGGGAAACUGGGUCUAAUACCGGAUAGGAGCCAUUUUUAGUGUGAUGGUUGGAAAGUUUUUUCGGUGUAGGAUGAGCUCGCGGCCUAUCAGCUUGUUGGUGGGGUAAUGGCCUACCAAGGCGGCGACGGGUAGCCGGCCUGAGAGGGUGGACGGCCACAUUGGGACUGAGAUACGGCCCAGACUCCUACGGGAGGCAGCAGUGGGGAAUAUUGCACAAUGGGCGCAAGCCUGAUGCAGCGACGCCGCGUGGGGGAGGACGGCCUUCGGGUUGUAAACUCCUUUCGCUAGGGACGAAGCUUUUGUGACGGUACCUAGAUAAGAAGCACCGGCUAACUACGU